GGAAAAGAUGAUAAUUGUGAAAAGGGUCAGAAACUUAUUGUUGUGGUUUUGGCUGUGAGAUCUCCACCUCCUUAUGUUCCAACACCUCCAAAUGCUCCUUUGUAUAGUCCUCCAAAUGUUCCAAAUAUACCAAAAGCUCCAACACCCCCAAAAGCUCCAUCACCUAUAUAUAGUCCUCCAAGUGUUCCACAAGUUCCUUCUACACCUAAAGCUCCUUCACCCUAUGUCCCAAAACCUCCACAAACUCCUUCUCCUAUUCAUCCUCCUCAUUUUUCAACACCACCAAAAGCUCCUUAUGUUCCAACACCACCACAAACUCCUUCACCAAUAUAUCACCCUCCAAAAGCUCCUUCACCCUAUGUUCCAAAUCCUCCACAAGUUCCUUCUCCUAUUUAUCAUCCUCCCAUUGUACUAACUCCACAAGAAGCUCCAACACCUCCACAAGCUCCUUCCCCUAUUUCCCAUCCUCCUUAUAGUACUCCAACACCUCCACAAACACCUUCUCCAAGUUCUCAACCACCCCAUGUAACAACACCUCCAAAAACACCCUCUCCUAUUUCUCAACCUCCCUAUGUUUUGUCACCUCCAAAAACACCCUCUCCAAGUUCUCAAGCUCCCUAUGUAACAACACCUCCAAAAACACCCUCUCCAAGUUCUCAACCACCCUAUGUGCUAACACCUCCAAAAACUUCUUCACCAAGUUCUCAACCUCCAUAUGUGCUAACCCCUCCAAAAACACCCUCUCCAAGUUCUCAACCUCCCUAUGUUCCAUCACCUCCAAAAACACCCUCUCCAAUUGCUCAAGCUCCCUAUGUACUAUCACCUCCAAACACACCCUCUCCAAUUUCUCAACCACCCUAUGUAACAACACCUCCAAGCACUCCUUCUCCUAUCAAUCAACCACCCUAUGUAACAACACCCCCAAAACCCAGUUCUCCUAUUUCUCAACCUCCAUAUAUAUCAACACCUCCAAACACUCCUUCUCCUAUCAAUCAACCACCCUAUAUAACAACACCUCCAAAACCCAGUUCUCCUACUUCCCAACCUCCAUAUAUAUCAACUCCUCCACCAACCCCUUCUCCUAUUUCUCAAUCUCCCUAUGUAACAACACCUCCUAAACCCAUUUCUCCUUCUUCUCAACCUCCAUAUAUAUCAUCACCUCCAACAACAACCCCAUCUCCUAUUUCUCAACCUCCCUAUGUCUCAACACCUCCAAAAACUGCUUCUCCUACUUCUCAACCUCCACAUAUAUCAAUACCUCCACAAACUAGUUACCCCAUUUCUCAACCUCCAUAUAUUUCACAACCUCCAAAAGCUCUUUCCCCCACUUCUGAACCUCCAAACACCCCUUCUCCUAUUUCUCAACCUCCCUAUACCCUAUCACCUUUGAACAGCCCUUCUCCAUUUUCUCAAUCACCUUACAUUUCAACUCCUCCAAAGUCCACUUCCCCUAUUUCUCAACCUCCACAAAAACCAAGAAGUGGAAGCUUUGCACCAUUUUAUUCAACAACAUCACCAUCUCCAUCACCAUUAUACUCAUCACCAACAACAUCACCAUCAUACUCAUCACCAACAACAUCACCAUCAUACUCAUCACCAA
This 1600-nucleotide long non-coding RNA is filed under the name Lupinus angustifolius (narrow-leaved blue lupine). RNAcentral's name for it is "long non-coding RNA (LANG_LNC000875)". The record is from RNAcentral. Lineage: Eukaryota; Viridiplantae; Streptophyta; Magnoliopsida; Fabales; Fabaceae.